Molecule: non-coding RNA, 24 nt
Filed under: Gossypium hirsutum (cotton)
Lineage: Eukaryota; Viridiplantae; Streptophyta; Magnoliopsida; Malvales; Malvaceae
Source: RNAcentral
CUGAGUUCGGGUGGAAGAUGGCCC